This 75-nucleotide transfer RNA is filed under the name Terriglobia bacterium. RNAcentral describes it as "tRNA-Gln". It matches the Rfam family "tRNA". Rfam says of the family: Transfer RNA (tRNA) molecules are approximately 80 nucleotides in length. Their secondary structure includes four short double-helical elements and three loops (D, anti-codon, and T loops). Lineage: Bacteria; Pseudomonadati; Acidobacteriota; Terriglobia. The record is from RNAcentral.
CGGGAGUUCGUUCAGCGGCAAGGACGGAAGAUUUUGGAUCUUCUCACCUGGGUUCGAGUCCCAGACUCCCAGCCA